CCGUUGAAUAUGAGCCAGCAGUGUGCCCAGGUGGCCAAGAAGGCCAGUUGCAUCCUGGCUUAUAUCAGAACGUGUGAUGAGAAGGACUAGAGAGGUUAUCCUGCCUCUGUACUUAGCAUUGGUGAGGCCCCACCUCGAGUACUGUGUUCAGUAUUGGGCACCUCAGUACUGAAAGGGCUUUGAGGUGCUGGAGCAGAUCCAGUGAAGAGCAAAAAGGCUGGUGAGGGGCUUGGAGAAUAUCCCCCGUGAGGAGCAACUGGAGGAACUGGGGCUGUUUAGUCUGGGGAAAAGGUGGGUGAGGGGAGAUCUUAUUGCUCUCUUCAAAUACCUGAAAUGUGAUUGCAGUGAGAGUGGGGUUGGUCUCUUCUCACUGGUGAUAGGUGACAGGACAAGGGGAAAUGGCUUCAAGUUGUGCUAGGGAAGCUUUAGUUUGAAUAUCAGAAAAAUCAUUUUUACAGAAAGGGCUGUUAAGGACUGGAACAGGCUCUCCAGGGAAGUGGUUGAGUCACCAUCUCUGAAUGUGCUUAAAAACUAUUUUGACGGUUUGGAUGGGACAUGAUUUAGCAGUGGGUUUCAGAGUUAGGGCAGUAUGGUUAGGUUGUGGUUUGACUUGAUGAUCUUCAACAUCUUUUCCAACCUGAGCAAUUCUAUGAUUCUAUGAUUUGAUGAGUGCCUGGACUUCUUUUUGCAGCUGCAGAAGGGACUGCAUCUUUAAGGACACUCCAGAAGUCCAGAACCAAAAAGAUCCCUUACAAUACUGAGGCCAAGAUGGUGCAAGGCAGAGAUGACAUUUCAGCACAAGAGAUCAGCAAGCAGGAGAGAUAUGAGCCAGCAGUGCAGGUAUUGUAAUGUUUGCCCUUUUUGCCCUGCCAUCAUUGAAAGAUAGUAAUCAACCUGAUUUUUGUCAGUUCAUGGAAUAAUGGGGAAAAAAGGAACCGUUUCAUAGAAAAUAAUGGUGAGAAGUCCUUGGCCUCUGCUGUGGAUGUAAAAUCUCUCCCUCUUGGAACUGAUGAAACACAGAAGUACGGUGGGAUUAGAAAAGUGACUUGCACAGUGAGCAAGGUGAGUACUGUUAUGCAUCCUUCUUCAGUGUGGUAUGCAAUUUUGAGUGUGUCCAUGCCCCUUUUA
Molecule: long non-coding RNA, 1128 nt
Filed under: Coturnix japonica (Japanese quail)
Lineage: Eukaryota; Metazoa; Chordata; Aves; Galliformes; Phasianidae
Description: lncRNA (ENSCJPG00005008370.1)
Source: RNAcentral